RNAcentral lists this long non-coding RNA (926 nucleotides) under Marmota monax (woodchuck). The record is from RNAcentral. Lineage: Eukaryota; Metazoa; Chordata; Mammalia; Rodentia; Sciuridae.
GUGCUAAGGAAUUAGUGGGAGGGGGGAUUCUUUAAAGGUCUAGAAAGGGAAGGAUUCCAGGUGGAGGGUCAUGUCAUAAGACUUAGAUUAAUAUCACAAAAAGCAUUUGUUGAUCUAAACUGAUGACUGAAAGGGAAAUGCUCCCCUUGGCCUUCCAGUUACGGAAGUGUGAGACAGAGCACAGACAGCGGGGGAUUGAUUGGUCAGAAUGUAAAGAGGGAAAGUGCAUCAGUUCCAACUGUGGGAUGCCAUAUAGAGGGCCCAGCACAUGCAAUGAAGCUGCAAAUGGAGGUUUUUCUGGAUGGGCCACUGCAUAGAAUUUAUGAGCAGCAAUAUAUGUCUUAUGAGCAUACAAGAAUACUUGCCAUAAAAGCAAAUCAGAAGGUUAUAAUCUAGUGUAAAAUUAUCCUCAGGGAGACAGGAGAGUGGGAUACAUUGGCAGAGGUAUUCAGAGGCAAAGGCAUAAAUAAGAGGGAAAAGACCUUGUAUUAGUUCAUUUUUGUCACUAUAAUAAAAUACAUGAAGCUGGGGAACAUUAUAGACAAAAGACUUUCAUUUAGCUCACAGUUUUGGAGGCUAAAAGUGCAAGAUGAGGUGGCCCCGUUGGUUUGGCUUCUGGUGAGGCCCCAGCAGCUGAUGCUAUCAGGGCAAGAGCAUAGUCCUCACAUGUGUGGGAAACCAGAGCACCUUAAAAGGUGGGGCCUCAUGAGAGAUCAUCAGGUCACUAGGGGCAUGCCAUUGUCCCUUUUUAACGGAACCCUGGCCCCUUCCUCUUUCUCUUCUUUGCUUCUGGCCAUGGGUUGAGUGGUUUUAUUCCACCUCAUGCUCCUGCCGUGAUGCGCUUCCUCACCACAGGCCCAAGGCAAUGGCAUCAACUGACCAUGGACUGAAUCCUUCAAAACUGUGAGCCAAAAGAAACCUUUUCU